UAAUCUUUUUCUGUUCAAUAG
RNAcentral lists this non-coding RNA (21 nucleotides) under Caenorhabditis elegans. The record is from RNAcentral. Lineage: Eukaryota; Metazoa; Nematoda; Chromadorea; Rhabditida; Rhabditidae.